AGCAGCCGCGGUAAUUCCAACUCCAAUAGCGUAUAUUAAAGUUGUUGCAGUUAAAAAGCUCGUAGUUGAAUUUCGGGGUCAGUAAGUUGGUCGUGCCUAUGGUAUGUACUGGCUUUACUGAUUCCUCCUUCUUGAAGAACUGUAAUGCCAUUAAUUUGGUGUUGCAGGGAAUCAGGACUGUUACUUUGAAAAAAUUAGAGUGUUUAAAGCAGGCUUACGCUUGAAUACAUUAGCAUGGAAUAAUGAAAUAGGACGUUGAUCCUAUUUUGUUGGUUUCUAGGGUUGACGUAAUGAUUAAUAGGGAUAGUUGGGGGCAUUAGUAUUCAAUUGUCAGAGGUGAAAUUCUUGGAUUUAUUGAAGACUAACUACUGCGAAAGCAUUUGCCAAGGAUGUUUUCAUUAAUCAAGAACGAAAGUUAGGGGAUCGAAGACGAUCAGAUACCGUCGUAGUCUUAACCAUAAACUAUGCCGACUAGGGAUCGGAUGAUGUUAAUUUUUAAUGUACUCAUUCGGCGCCUUAC
RNAcentral lists this ribosomal RNA (520 nucleotides) under uncultured Glomus. RNAcentral's name for it is "SSU rRNA". It matches the Rfam family "Eukaryotic small subunit ribosomal RNA", at positions 569 to 1091 of the family's 1831-position model. The record is from RNAcentral. Lineage: Eukaryota; Fungi; Glomeromycota; Glomeromycetes; Glomerales; Glomeraceae.